GAUGAACGCUGGCGGCGUGCCUGAUACAUGCAAGUCGAGCGAACAGACGAGGAGCUUGCUCCUCUGACGUUAGCGGCGGACGGGUGAGUAACACGUGGAUAACCUACCUAUAAGACUGGGAUAACUUCGGGAAACCGGAGCUAAUACCGGAUAAUAUAUUGAACCGCAUGGUUCAAUAGUGAAAGACGGUUUUGCUGUCACUUAUAGAUGGAUCCGCGCCGCAUUAGCUAGUUGGUAAGGUGACGGCUUACCAAGGCAACGAUGCGUAGCCGACCUGAGAGGGUGAUCGGCCACACUGGAACUGAGACACGGUCCAGACUCCUACGGGAGGCAGCAGUAGGGAAUCUUCCGCAAAGGGCGAAAGCUUGACGGAGCAACGCCGCGUGAGUGAUGAAGGUCUUCGGAUCGUAAAACUCUGUUAUUAGGGAAGAACAAAUGUGUAAGUAACUAUGCACGUCUUGACGGUACCUAAUCAGAAAGCCACGGCUAACUACGUG
RNAcentral lists this ribosomal RNA (497 nucleotides) under uncultured bacterium. RNAcentral describes it as "partial 16S ribosomal RNA". It matches the Rfam family "Bacterial small subunit ribosomal RNA", at positions 28 to 507 of the family's 1533-position model. The record is from RNAcentral.